CUGGCGGCGUGCUUAACACAUGCAAGUCGAACGAACCUUCGGGUUAGUGGCUGGACGGGUGAGUAACGCGUGGGAAUCUGCCCUCAGGAGGGGGAUAACGGCCGGAAACGGCCGCUAAUACCCCAUAUGCCGAGAGGUGAAAUGAAUUUCGCCUGAGGAUGAGCCCGCGUCUGAUUAGCUAGUUGGUGAGGUAAGAGCUCACCAAGGCAUCGAUCAGUAGCAUGGUCUUGAGAGGAUGAUCAGCCACACUUGGGACUGAGACACGGCCCAGACUCCUACGGGAGGCAGCAGUGGGGAAUUUUCCGCAAUGGGCCGAAAGCCUGACGGAGCAACGCCGCGUGAGGGAUGAAGGCCUCUGGGCUGUAAACCUCUUUUAUCAAGGAAGAAGAUCUGACGGUACUUGAUGAAUAAGCCACGGCUAAUUCCGUGCCAGCAGCCGCGGUAAUACGGGAGGGGGGCACGCGUUUAUCCGGAAUUAUUGGGCCGUAAAGCGUCCGCAGGCGGCCCUACAAGUCUGCUGUUAAAAAGUGGAGCUUAACUCCAUCAUGGCAGUGGAAACUGUUGGGCUCGAGUGUGGUAGGGGCAGAGGGAAUUCCCGGUGUAGCGGCGAAAUGCGUAGAUAUCGGGAAGAACACCAGUGGCGAAGGCGCUCUGCUUGGGCCAUCACUUGACGCUCAUGGACCGAAAGCCAGGGGAGCCGAAAGGGAUUAGAUACCCCUUGUAGUCCUGGCCGUAAACGAUGAACACUUAGGUGUCGGGGGAAUCGACCCCUCCGGUGUCGUAGCCAACGCGUUAAGUGUUCCGCCUGGGGAGUACGCACGCAAGUGUGAAACUCAAAGGAAAUGACGGGGGCCCGCACAAGCGGUGGAGUAUGUGGUUUAAUUCGAUGCAACGCGAAGAACCUUACCAGGAUUUGACAUCCUGCGAAUCUCUUGGAAACUUGAGAGUGCCUUCGGGAACGCAGUGACAGGUGGUGCAUGGCUGUCCGUCAGCUCGUGUCGUGAGAUGUUGGGUUAAGUCCCGCAACGAGCGCAACCCACGUCUUUAGUUGCCAGCAUUUAGUUGGGCACUCUAGAGAGACCGCCGGUGAUAAACCGGAGGAAGGUGUGGAUGACGUCAAGUCAUCAUGCCCCUUACAUUCUGGGCUACACACGGUACUACAAUGCUACGGACAAAGGGCAGCAAGUUCCUGCGAGGACAAGCAAAUCCCAUAAACCGUAGCUCAGUUCAGAUCGUAGGCUGCAACUCGCCUACGUGAAGGAGGAAUCGCUAGUAAUCGCAGGUCAGCAUACUGCGGUGAAUACGUUCCCGGGCCUUGUACACACCGCCCGUCACACCAUGGAAGUUGGCCAUGCCCGAAGCCGUUACUCCAACCCUUGGGAGGAGGACGUCGAAGG
This 1397-nucleotide ribosomal RNA is filed under the name uncultured bacterium. Its description in RNAcentral is "16S ribosomal RNA". It matches the Rfam family "Bacterial small subunit ribosomal RNA". The record is from RNAcentral.